This 279-nucleotide ribosomal RNA is filed under the name uncultured bacterium. RNAcentral describes it as "partial 16S ribosomal RNA". It matches the Rfam family "Bacterial small subunit ribosomal RNA", at positions 506 to 784 of the family's 1533-position model. The record is from RNAcentral.
UGCCAGCCGCCGCGGUAAUACGGAGGGUCCGAGCGUUAUCCGGAAUCAUUGGGUUUAAAGGGUCCGUAGGCGGGCUAUUAAGUCAGAGGUGAAAGUUUGCGGCUCAACCGUAAAAUUGCCUUUGAUACUGGUAGUCUUGAAUUAAUAUGAAGUGGUUGGAAUGUGUAGUGUAGCGGUGAAAUGCAUAGAUAUUACACAGAACACCAAUUGCGAAGGCAGAUCACUAAGCUACGAUUGACGCUGAGGCACGAAAGCGUGGGGAGCGAACAGGAUUAGAUA